RNAcentral lists this ribosomal RNA (256 nucleotides) under uncultured Streptococcus sp. RNAcentral's name for it is "partial 16S ribosomal RNA". It matches the Rfam family "Bacterial small subunit ribosomal RNA", at positions 1128 to 1382 of the family's 1533-position model. The record is from RNAcentral. Lineage: Bacteria; Bacillati; Bacillota; Bacilli; Lactobacillales; Streptococcaceae.
CAGUUGGGCACUCUAGCGAGACUGCCGGUAAUAAAACCGGAGGAAGGUGGGGAUGACGUCAAAUCAUCAUGCCCCUUAUGACCUGGGCUACACACGUGCUACAAUGGUUGGUACAACGAGUUGCGAGUCGGUGACGGCGAGCUAAUCCCUUAAAGCCAAUCUCAGUUCGGAUUGUAGGCUGCAACUCGCCUACAUGAAGUCGGAAUCGCUAGUAAUCGCGGAUCAGCACGCCGCGGUGAAUACGUUCCCGGGCCUU